UCAAGGGAGUCAUGAGGAGCAGAGCCUCCUAUCAAAUGGUAAAGGUGGAGAAGGGGUGAUCUAAUCCCAAUGGUGUCCCUGGGGUGUACCAUCUGCCUGUUGGCUGUGCUUUUCACAACACAUCUCCUUGUCUACUCUGAUGGCUUCAGAGCUGCUUUUCAAGCAACCACUAACAAAUGGCAGGGAAAAGGGGAAGGCAUGGAGGUGAUCAACAUGGCUGAGAGUGAGGACUCCCAACAGCUUGGGAAUACAGCAAUGAAGGACAUCUUGCUGGACGUGGUCAUCUCUCUGAACACUGCCAGUGUCGUGCUCUUUUUUUUAUGCGUGACAUAGAGCCAGAGGUCUUAGCAAUGGUAAUGGAUGAAGACAACCUGAACAUCUACUUCUGCUUCAUGAUUGCCUACUAAGCUGUGACCAUCACUCGGACCCAGGGACCUCAGUACCAACUAGGCAUGUCUCCACACCAUGGCCCCUGAAAGGAGCAAUAAACCUUUUAAUCAAAGUUUGUA
This is a long non-coding RNA of Crotalus tigris (Tiger rattlesnake), 509 nucleotides long. RefSeq lists it as uncharacterized. Lineage: Eukaryota; Metazoa; Chordata; Lepidosauria; Squamata; Viperidae. The record is from RefSeq and is a predicted model, not a curated record. The transcript has 2 exons.